AACGCGAAGAACCUUACUCGGGUUUGACUUCCACAAGCAGCAUAUAGACAUGGGCGCUCCCUUGUGGCUGGUGUGCAGGUGGUGCAUGGCUGUCGUCAGCUCGUGUCGUCAGAUGUUGGGUUAAGUCCCGCAACGAGCGCAACCCUCCUUCCAUGUUGCCAGCGCGUUAUGGUAGGGACUCAUGAGAGACUGCCCGGGUCAACUCGGAGGAAGGUUGGGAUGACGUCAAGUCAUCAUGCGCCUUAUGUGCAGGGCUUCACACAUGCUACAAUGGGCAGUACAGAGGGCUGCGAGACCCGUGCGGUGGAGAGAAUCUCUUAAAGCCGGUCUCAGUUCGGAUCGGGGUCUGCAACUCGACUCCGUGAAGUUGGAGUCGCUAGUAAUCGCAGAUCAGCAACGCUGCGGUGAAUACGUUCCCGGGUCUUUGUACACACCG
This 436-nucleotide ribosomal RNA is filed under the name uncultured Pseudonocardia sp. Its description in RNAcentral is "bacterial SSU rRNA". It matches the Rfam family "Bacterial small subunit ribosomal RNA", at positions 958 to 1392 of the family's 1533-position model. Lineage: Bacteria; Bacillati; Actinomycetota; Actinomycetes; Pseudonocardiales; Pseudonocardiaceae. The record is from RNAcentral.